RNAcentral lists this ribosomal RNA (274 nucleotides) under uncultured bacterium. RNAcentral's name for it is "partial 16S ribosomal RNA". It matches the Rfam family "Bacterial small subunit ribosomal RNA", at positions 523 to 796 of the family's 1533-position model. The record is from RNAcentral.
AUACGGAGGGUGCAAGCGUUAUUCGGAAUCACUGGGCGUAAAGGGUGCGUAGGCGGUUUGAUAAGUCUGAUGUGAAAUCCUAUGGCUCAACCAUAGAACUGCAUUGGAAACUGUCAGACUAGAAUACUGAAGGGGCAGAUGGAAUUGGUGGUGUAGGGGUAAAAUCCGUAGAUAUCACUAGGAAUACCGAAAGCGAAAGCGAUCUGCUGGGAAGUUAUUGACGCUGAGGCACGAAAGCGUGGGGAGCAAACGGGAUUAGAAACCCUAGUAGUCC